Molecule: ribosomal RNA, 1555 nt
Filed under: Planctomycetaceae bacterium
Lineage: Bacteria; Pseudomonadati; Planctomycetota; Planctomycetia; Planctomycetales; Planctomycetaceae
Description: bacterial LSU rRNA
Rfam family: Bacterial large subunit ribosomal RNA
Source: RNAcentral
AUAUGUCGGCUUGAGUAACGAUAAACGGAGUGAGAAUCUCCGUCGCCGAAAACCUAAGGUUUCCUGGGGAAGGUAAAUCCGCCCAGGGUUAGGCGGGUCCUAAGGCGAGGCCGAAAGGCGUAGUCGAUGGACAGCAGGUUAAUAUUCCUGCCCCGUUGUGUGCGGUUGAACCGGCGUGACGGAUCUUGAAGUUCUGUGGGACAGUGAAGCGUCCAGGCCCUUGAGGCCGUUGCAGGGUGGAUAGGUUCCAAGAAAAGCCGUCCGGUGACAAACACAAUGCCCGUACUAAAACUGACACAGGUAGGCGUGGCGAAUAGCCUCAGGCGCUCGAGAAAACGGUUGUGAAGGAACUAGGCAAAUUGACCCCGUACGUUCGCAAUAAGGGGGCCCUACUGGCAACAGAGGGCGCAGAGAAAAGGCUCUGGCGACUGUUUAUCAAAAACACAGCACUGUGCGAACACGCAAGUGGACGUAUACAGUGUGACGCCUGCUCGGUGCCGGAAUGUUAAGGAAGUGGGUUAGCUUCGGCGAAGCUCAUGACUGAAGCACCGGUAAACAGCGGCCGUAACUAUGACGGUCCUAAGGUAGCGAAGUUCCUUGUCGGGUAAGUUCCGACGUGCAUGAAUGGCGUAACGACUGGAGCACUGUCUCCACAACGGACUCGGUGAAAUAGUAGUGGCGGUGAAGAUGCCGCCUACCCGCAGCAAGACGGAAAGACCCCGUGGACCUUUACUGCAGGCAUAUAUUGGUCAUGGAUUGGUACUGUGUAGGAUAGGUGGGAGACGUUGAAGUCAUCAUUCCGGUGAUGAUGGAGUCAUCCUUGAAAUACCACCCUGUGUUGAUUUGUGGCCUAACCCCGAUACCCAUGAAGCUGGGCGGGGGACCAUGUAUGCUGGGCGGUUUGACUGGGGCGGUCUCCUCCUAAAAGGUAACGGAGGAGCGCAAAGGUUAGCUCAGCGCGGUUGGAAACCGCGUGUCGAGUGUAAGAGCACAAGCUAGCUUUACUGCAAGACAUACAGGUCGAGCAGUUACGAAAGUAGGCUCUAGUGAUCCUGCGAUCCCGUGUGGAAGGGUCGUAGCUCAUCGGAUAAAAGGUACCCCGGGGAUAACAGGCUUAUCGCUCCCGAGCGUCCAUAGCGGCGGAGCGGUUUGGCACCUCGAUGUCGGCUCAUCACAUCCUGGGGGUGGAGAAGCUCCCAAGGGUUUGGCUGUUCGCCAAUGAAAGUGGUACGUGAGCUGGGUUCAGACCGUCGUGAGACAGGUCGGUCCCUAUCUGCCGUGGGCGUUCGAAACUUGAGGAGAUUCAUCUUUAGUACGAGAGGAUUUGGAUGGACGAACCUCUGGUGUUCCAGUUGUCGCGCUAGCGGCACGGCUGGAUAGCUAAGUUCGGAAAGGAUAAACGCUGAAAGCAUCUAAGCGUGAAGCCCGCUCCGAGAUAAGGUUUCGUUGGGCUAUGCCCGAAAGUCCCCUGGAAGACGACCAGGUUGAUAGGCUGGAUGUGUAAGCACAGUAAUGUGUUCAGCUAACCAGUACUAAUGGACGAAUGCUUGACCAU